AGCCCAUGGUGUGGGCACUUUCUUAGCUUUGUCUUGAAACGUUUCCAUGCCUCAUAUAAGGAAUCACCUUGUAUUGUUUAAAAUUUGUGAUUUCUCGUCAAAGUU
This 105-nucleotide small nucleolar RNA is filed under the name Gossypium hirsutum (cotton). Its description in RNAcentral is "Plant small nucleolar RNA R71". It matches the Rfam family "Plant small nucleolar RNA R71". From Rfam's summary of the family: R71 is a member of the C/D box family of snoRNAs containing the C (UGAUGA) and D (CUGA) box motifs. Multiple nearly identical copies of this snoRNA have been identified in Arabidopsis, and it is thought to function as a 2'-O-ribose methylation guide for 18S ribosomal RNA. The record is from Rfam by way of RNAcentral. Lineage: Eukaryota; Viridiplantae; Streptophyta; Magnoliopsida; Malvales; Malvaceae.